This 168-nucleotide ribosomal RNA is filed under the name uncultured Thiobacillus sp. RNAcentral describes it as "partial 16S ribosomal RNA". It matches the Rfam family "Bacterial small subunit ribosomal RNA", at positions 1217 to 1382 of the family's 1533-position model. The record is from RNAcentral. Lineage: Bacteria; Pseudomonadati; Pseudomonadota; Betaproteobacteria; Nitrosomonadales; Thiobacillaceae.
CACACGUCAUACAAUGGUCGGUACAGAGGGUUGCCAAGCCGCGAGGUGGAGCCAAUCCCAGAAAGCCCGAUCGUAGUCCGGAUUGUUCUCUGCAACUCGAGAGCAUGAAGUCGGAAUCGCUAGUAAUCGCGGAUCAGCAUGUCACGGUGAAUACGUUCCCGGGUCCUU